This 2211-nucleotide ribosomal RNA is filed under the name Streptococcus pneumoniae. RNAcentral describes it as "bacterial LSU rRNA". It matches the Rfam family "Bacterial large subunit ribosomal RNA", at positions 710 to 2925 of the family's 2925-position model. Lineage: Bacteria; Bacillati; Bacillota; Bacilli; Lactobacillales; Streptococcaceae. The record is from RNAcentral.
UAGACCCGAAACCAGGUGAUCUACCCAUGUCCAGGGUGAAGUUCAGGUAACACUGAAUGGAGGCCCGAACCCACGCACGUUGAAAAGUGCGGGGAUGAGGUGUGGGUAGCGGAGAAAUUCCAAUCGAACCUGGAGAUAGCUGGUUCUCCCCGAAAUAGCUUUAGGGCUAGCCUUAAGUGUAAGAGUCUUGGAGGUAGAGCACUGAUUGGACUAGGGGUCCUCAUCGGAUUACCGAAUUCAGUCAAACUCCGAAUGCCAAUGACUUAUCCUUAGGAGUCAGACUGCGAGUGAUAAGAUCCGUAGUCAAAAGGGAAACAGCCCAGACCGCCAGCUAAGGUCCCAAAGUGUGUAUUAAGUGGAAAAGGAUGUGGAGUUGCUUAGACAACUAGGAUGUUGGCUUAGAAGCAGCCACCAUUUAAAGAGUGCGUAAUAGCUCACUAGUCGAGUGACUCUGCGCCGAAAAUGUACCGGGGCUAAAUACACCACCGAAGCUGCGGAUUGAUACCGAAUGGUAUCAGUGGUAGGGGAGCGUUCUAAGGACAGUGAAGUCAGACCGUAAGGACUGGUGGAGUGCUUAGAAGUGAGAAUGCCGGUAUGAGUAGCGAAAGACGGGUGAGAAUCCCGUCCACCGAAUGCCUAAGGUUUCCUGAGGAAGGCUCGUCCGCUCAGGGUUAGUCAGGACCUAAGCCGAGGCCGACAGGCGUAGGCGAUGGACAACAGGUUGAUAUUCCUGUACCACCUCUUUAUCGUUUGAGCAAUGGAGGGACGCAGAAGGAUAGAAGAAGCGUGCGAUUGGUUGUGCACGUCCAAGCAGUUAGGCUGAUAAGUAGGCAAAUCCGCUUAUCGUGAAGGCUGAGCUGUGAUGGGGAAGCUCCUUAUGGAGCGAAGUCUUUGAUUCCCCGCUGCCAAGAAAAGCUUCUAGCGAGAUAAAAGGUGCCUGUACCGCAAACCGACACAGGUAGGCGAGGAGAGAAUCCUAAGGUGUGCGAGAGAACUCUGGUUAAGGAACUCGGCAAAAUGACCCCGUAACUUCGGGAGAAGGGGUGCUUUCUUAACGGAAAGCCGCAGUGAAUAGGCCCAAGCGACUGUUUAGCAAAAACACAGCUCUCUGCGAAGCCGUAAGGCGAAGUAUAGGGGGUGACACCUGCCCGGUGCUGGAAGGUUAAGGAGAGGGGUUAGCGUAAGCGAAGCUCUGAACUGAAGCCCCAGUAAACGGCGGCCGUAACUAUAACGGUCCUAAGGUAGCGAAAUUCCUUGUCGGGUAAGUUCCGACCCGCACGAAAGGUGUAACGAUUUGGGCACUGUCUCAACCAGAGACUCGGUGAAAUUAUAGUACCUGUGAAGAUGCAGGUUACCCGCGACAGGACGGAAAGACCCCGUGGAGCUUUACUGUAGCCUGAUAUUGAAUUUUGGUACAGUUUGUACAGGAUAGGCGGGAGCCAUUGAAACCGGAGCGCUAGCUUCGGUGGAGGCGCUGGUGGGAUACCGCCCUGACUGUAUUGAAAUUCUAACCUACGGGUCUUAUCGACCCGGGAGACAGUGUCAGGUGGGCAGUUUGACUGGGGCGGUCGCCUCCUAAAGUGUAACGGAGGCGCCCAAAGGUUCCCUCAGAAUGGUUGGAAAUCAUUCGUAGAGUGCAAAGGCAUAAGGGAGCUUGACUGCGAGACCUACAAGUCGAGCAGGGACGAAAGUCGGGCUUAGUGAUCCGGUGGUUCCGCAUGGAAGGGCCAUCGCUCAACGGAUAAAAGCUACCCCGGGGAUAACAGGCUUAUCUCCCCCAAGAGUCCACAUCGACGGGGAGGUUUGGCACCUCGAUGUCGGCUCAUCGCAUCCUGGGGCUGUAGUCGGUCCCAAGGGUUGGGCUGUUCGCCCAUUAAAGCGGUACGCGAGCUGGGUUCAGAACGUCGUGAGACAGUUCGGUCCCUAUCCGUCGUGGGCGUAGGAAAUUUGAGAGGAGCUGUCCUUAGUACGAGAGGACCGGGAUGGACGCACCGCUGGUGUACCAGUUGUUCUGCCAAGGGCAUAGCUGGGUAGCUAUGUGCGGAAGGGAUAAGUGCUGAAAGCAUCUAAGCAUGAAGCCCCCCUCAAGAUGAGAUUUCCCAUAGCGUAAGCUAGUAAGAUCCCUGAAAGAUGAUCAGGUUGAUAGGUUCGAGGUGGAAGCAUGGUGACAUGUGGAGCUGACGAAUACUAAUAGAUCGAGGACUUAACCAU